RNAcentral lists this unclassified non-coding RNA (253 nucleotides) under uncultured Planctomycetia bacterium. Its description in RNAcentral is "contains 16S-23S intergenic spacer region". It matches the Rfam family "Bacterial small subunit ribosomal RNA", at positions 524 to 776 of the family's 1533-position model. Lineage: Bacteria; Pseudomonadati; Planctomycetota; Planctomycetia. The record is from RNAcentral.
GACGAACCGAGCGAACGUUGUUCGGAAUCACUGGGCUUAAAGGGCGCGUAGGCGGUCAACCCAGUCGGGGGUGAAAUCUUUCGGCUUAACCGGAAAAGUGCCUUCGAUACUGGUUGACUCGAGGAAGGUAGGGGCAGAUGGAACUUCCGGUGGAGCGGUGAAAUGUGUUGAUAUCGGAAGGAACGCCGGCGGCGAAAGCGAUCUGCUGGACCUUUACUGACGCUGAGGCGCGAAAGCCAGGGGAGCAAACGGG